CACUCCACCAUUAAUUUUAUAACUUUCAACAUAUACAUUACUUGUUAUCUACAAUUACAAAUAGACAAUAAUUGGUGGCAUAUCCCAUGGUCCACGAUGAAAAAAAAGAUUUUAUUGAGAUAUCUUCUUCGUUACCAUCCUCAAACAUUCAAACUGUGACAACUUUGACAGUUAAACUAUACCUUAUCAACGAUUAUUAUUAAUAGGGUUAGGGUGCGGAACUCCUGAAAUAGACACUCUUAGAGCGUUGACCCUCUCAUUCUCGACCUUGGUGCAAAAAUCUCUCCCAUAGUCUAGAUAGAAUAAGAGUGCAUUUAAACUCAUAGUGAUAACGGCUGUUUGACACCGUUUCUUUUAUUUAUUUAUUUUGAAGUGGGUCCCACGUCAUCCCCUUCAUCGGCUUUACCAGAAUCUCGAAGCUCAGCUUCUGCCCCUCCGCGUCGAAUCUCUGAGAUUCCACCUCGGACCAAACUCCGAUGAUUUCCAUCUUCUUUGGAUCCUCCAAGAUCAUCGGUGUUCCCUUGUCGGCGUACGCGUGCGCGAUGUAUCUUGUUAUGGCCCUUGAUUCUACGGUACUCCAACCAAUUAGAUUAUACAAAAUGAAAAUCAAUUUUUAUUUUGAGAAAAUGAUGAAUUGAAGAAUCUUUACCGAAGAGCUUGAGAUCGCCGUCUGCAACAAAAGACACAUACUCGUCAGACUAGAGAGAGAGAGAGUUGACGAGCUUAAUUACGUGGAGUGAGAGGAAGGGCUCCUUCUUACGCUGGCAGGUUGAUAAAUUCACCUGCAUCAGUUCUUGAUUACUGCUAAUUGCAGUGAGAUAAUUGAGCAUAAAUAAUUGGCAAUGCUAAAACAAAUGUAUGUUGCAUUUACAGUAGAAUUAUACACAUAUCUAUUUACCUGA
Long non-coding RNA from Salvia miltiorrhiza (redroot sage), 902 nucleotides. RefSeq lists it as uncharacterized. The transcript is spliced from 2 exons. The record is from RefSeq and is a predicted model, not a curated record. NCBI's taxonomy places the organism in Eukaryota, Viridiplantae, Streptophyta, Magnoliopsida, Lamiales, Lamiaceae.